AGUGAACGCUGGCGGUAGGCCUAACACAUGCAAGUCGAACGGCAGCACAGUAAGAGCUUGCUCUUACGGGUGGCGAGUGGCGGACGGGUGAGGAAUACAUCGGAAUCUACUUUUUCGUGGGGGAUAACGUAGGGAAACUUACGCUAAUACCGCAUACGACAUACGGUUGAAAGCAGGGGAUCUUCGGACCUUGCGCGAUUGAAUGAGCCGAUGUCGGAUUAGCUAGUUGGCGGGGUAAGGGCCCACCAAGGCGACGAUCCGUAGCUGGUCUGAGAGGAUGAUCCGCCACACUGGCACUGAGACACGUUACAGACUCCUACGGGAGGCAGCAGUGGGGAAUAUUGGACAAUGGGCGCAAGCCUGAUCCAGCCAUACCGCGUGGGUGAAGAAGGACUUCGGGUUGUAAAGCCCUUUUGUUGGGAAAGAAAAGCAGCAGGUUAAUACCCCGCUGUUAUGACGGUACCCAAAGAAUAAGCACCGGCUAACUUCGUG
Molecule: ribosomal RNA, 492 nt
Filed under: uncultured bacterium
Lineage: Bacteria
Description: partial 16S ribosomal RNA
Rfam family: Bacterial small subunit ribosomal RNA
Source: RNAcentral